Pan paniscus (pygmy chimpanzee) is the source of this 231-nucleotide long non-coding RNA. The record is from Ensembl. NCBI's taxonomy places the organism in Eukaryota, Metazoa, Chordata, Mammalia, Primates, Hominidae.
CAAAAAUCAUCUGUGCAUAAUUGAUUUUCCUCCCUUUCUCUUAGCAAGUCUUACUUCUUACAGGGAUUACUGUACUCUCAACCCUCUUCUGCCUACCACUUCCAAACACACUUCCUUCUUGGAUCACUGAAAUGCCUUCUGGAAAUCCUUUGAUGGUCAAGAGUAAAUACAAGGUUAGAAGAGGAAAGAGAAAAUGGAGUUGGGGAACAAGGAAAGCACCACUAAGCAGGU